GAUGAACGCUAGCGACAGGCUUAACACAUGCAAGUCGAGGGGCAGCACAGGUAGCAAUACCGGGUGGCGACCGGCGCACGGGUGAGUAACGCGUAUGCAACUUACCUAUCAGAGGGGGAUAACCCGGCGAAAGUCGGACUAAUACCGCAUGAAGCAGGGGUCCCGCAUGGGGAUAUUUGCUAAAGAUUCAUCGCUGAUAGAUAGGCAUGCGUUCCAUUAGGCAGUUGGCGGGGUAACGGCCCACCAAACCGACGAUGGAUAGGGGUUCUGAGAGGAAGGUCCCCCACAUUGGUACUGAGACACGGACCAAACUCCUACGGGAGGCAGCAGUGAGGAAUAUUGGUCAAUGGCCGAGAGGCUGAACCAGCCAAGUCGCGUGAGGGAUGAAGGUUCUAUGGAUCGUAAACCUCUUUUAUAAGGGAAUAAAGUGCGGGACGUGUCCCGUUUUGUAUGUACCUGAUGAAUAAGGAUCGGCUAACUCCGUG
This 485-nucleotide ribosomal RNA is filed under the name uncultured bacterium. RNAcentral describes it as "partial 16S ribosomal RNA". It matches the Rfam family "Bacterial small subunit ribosomal RNA", at positions 28 to 507 of the family's 1533-position model. The record is from RNAcentral.